Molecule: transfer RNA, 75 nt
Filed under: Pastinachus ater (banana tail ray)
Lineage: Eukaryota; Metazoa; Chordata; Chondrichthyes; Myliobatiformes; Dasyatidae
Description: tRNA-Leu
Rfam family: tRNA
About the family: Transfer RNA (tRNA) molecules are approximately 80 nucleotides in length. Their secondary structure includes four short double-helical elements and three loops (D, anti-codon, and T loops).
Source: RNAcentral
GUUAAGGUGGCAGAGCCUGGUAAAUGCAAAAGAUCUAAGCCCUUUGACCCAGAGGUUCAACUCCUCUCCUUAACU